RNAcentral lists this ribosomal RNA (482 nucleotides) under uncultured bacterium. RNAcentral describes it as "partial 16S ribosomal RNA". It matches the Rfam family "Bacterial small subunit ribosomal RNA", at positions 30 to 507 of the family's 1533-position model. The record is from RNAcentral.
AUUGAACGCUGGCGGCAUGCUUUACACAUGCAAGUCGAACGGUAACAGGCCGCAAGGUGCUGACGAGUGGCGAACGGGUGAGUAAUGCAUCGGAACGUGCCCAGGCGUGGGGGAUAACUACUCGAAAUAGUAGUGAAUAUCGCAUACGAUCUAUGGAUGAAAGCGGGGGACCGUAAGGCCUCGCGCGAUUGGAGCGGCCGAUGUCAGAUUAGGUAGUUGGUGGGGUAAAGGCUCACCAAGCCAACGAUCUGUAGCUGGUCUGAGAGGUCGACCCGCCACACUGGGACUGAGACACGGCCCAGACUCCUACGGGAGGCAGCAGUGGGGAAUUUUGGACAAUGGGCGCAAGCCUGAUCCAGCAAUGCCGCGUGCAGGAAGAAGGCCUUCGGGUUGUAAACUGCUUUUGUACGGAACGAAACGGCUCUGGUUAAUACCCGGGGCUAAUGACGGUACCGUAAGAAUAGGCACCGGCUAACUACGUG